Molecule: ribosomal RNA, 108 nt
Organism: Cricetulus griseus (Chinese hamster)
Lineage: Eukaryota; Metazoa; Chordata; Mammalia; Rodentia; Cricetidae
Source: Ensembl
CCCUACCACCAUACUACCAUGACAACCCCUGAUCAUCGGAAGAUAAGCAGGGUCAGGCCUGGUUAGUACUUGGAUGGGAGCCCUUUGGUAACUUCUAAACUGCAGGUU